RNAcentral lists this ribosomal RNA (491 nucleotides) under uncultured bacterium. RNAcentral's name for it is "partial 16S ribosomal RNA". It matches the Rfam family "Bacterial small subunit ribosomal RNA", at positions 28 to 507 of the family's 1533-position model. The record is from RNAcentral.
GAUGAACGCUGGCUACAGGCUUAACACAUGCAAGUCGAGGGGAAACGCCGGGGAAGCUUGCUUCCCCGGGCGUCGACCGGCGCACGGGUGAGUAACGCGUAUCCAACCUGCCUCUGACUGAGGGAUAACCCGUCGAAAGUCGGCCUAAUACCUCAUGGCAUCGUCUGCGGGCAUCCAACGACGAUUAAAGAUUUCAUCGGUCAGGGAUGGGGAUGCGUCUGAUUAGCUUGUUGGCGGGGUAACGGCCCACCAAGGCUACGAUCAGUAGGGGUUCUGAGAGGAAGGUCCCCCACAGUGGAACUGAGACACGGUCCAAACUCCUACGGGAGGCAGCAGUGAGGAAUAUUGGUCAAUGGGCGGGAGCCUGAACCAGCCAAGUAGCGUGCAGGAUGACGGCCCUAUGGGUGUUAAACUGCUUUUAUGCGGGGAUAAAGUGAGGGACGUGUCCUUCAUUGCAGGUACCGCAUGAAUAAGGACCGGCUAAUUCCGUG